GAACGGCCGCAUUCCCACGUGAAGGAGGAUUGGGAGCAAAGCGGAAGGUCAAAUAUUUUAAGUGCGUCCAUGUGACGAAAUUAUGAGAAAGGGGAGGCUCCGGAAAGCAGGGCUCUCACCUGACGUCCCACGGCCAAGAAGCAGCCAAGCUGCCAUCAAAACCCAGAUUCCCUGACGCAAAUCCAUGUGUGGCGUGACCAAUGGCUUGAGUGUGUUCCCAUGAUGGGGCUUCCGUGCCAUCACUGUGAGGAGAGCAGGCCUGGCUUAGCCCACCGGACCCCAGAGGAAGAUGAGAGGCACGUGGAGCAGAGCUGUGUUGCCCAGGAGAGAAUAGUAAACGGAAGAAUUUGCAGGCAGCGCAUCGUGAGGGGAUUUUCAGGGGUCUCCAGAGCUCGUGGUGCUCCAAGCCAUCCAGGUUUGGAAGUUGGAGAACCCAGCUGCCCAAUGAGUAACUCAAGCACGGCCCUCGGCUCCCUCCGGUCGGCCCCACCUCCAUUGGGACGCUCAGCAAGACCUACUGAUUGAACUCUGAACUCCUCCUCAGACCAUGGGGCCCAGGAGACCCAGGCUCUGGAAGCAAGGAGUCCUCAAUGGGCGUCUCUCGAAUGAACAGAUGACCUUUGACUUGCUAUCUUCUCUUUGUUCACGUCAUCAGCUGACUCCCAUCCAAAGGAGACGUGUCU
RNAcentral lists this long non-coding RNA (683 nucleotides) under Equus caballus (horse). RNAcentral describes it as "lncRNA (ENSECAG00000055860.1)". Lineage: Eukaryota; Metazoa; Chordata; Mammalia; Perissodactyla; Equidae. The record is from RNAcentral.